This 592-nucleotide long non-coding RNA is filed under the name Equus caballus (horse). RNAcentral describes it as "lncRNA (ENSECAG00000051541.1)". The record is from RNAcentral. Lineage: Eukaryota; Metazoa; Chordata; Mammalia; Perissodactyla; Equidae.
CUUUCCAUGCGGAAACCUGAUAAUCCAGUGGAGCUUUUGCUGCUAGAUUGUACACUGGAGACAUGGAGACAGACACACCAUACACUGAGAAAGAUGUAGCGUCCCCUCCCUGCAUGAGAUUCUAAAGGAAUAGGAAAUGCUGGGACGGAGUCGCUGCCGCAGCAUGGCUGACAGUGGUGUCCCCAAAUUAUGUGAGUUUCAAGCCCCGCAAACUGUGGAUCUACCCUGUGUUGAACUCUUUAUCCCCAACAACUAGCACAGUGCCUUGCCUGACGUAGGCAGUCCACAAGAUCCCCUGGCUGAAUGGAAAAUGAAGAAGUGAUCAACUCACUGGUUUAGAACUCCUCAGCAAGAUUCCUGCAAGAUCCACAAGGGCCCCAGUUAGUUUCCUAGAAACUCUUUUACACCAGCCUACUUUCAAGAAAGUGGAACAGAAUGGGAAAGAAGGAAUAGAAUGAAAUGGAAUAGAAUGAAAAAUAUCACGAGUACAUCACAAGAAGAGAGGGACUCCAAGAAGCACAGAUGAAACUCUUUCCAUUUGGUCCCGUGAAGACAGUCUCCUCAUUCUUUCCUUGUCUAUAAAGAACGGUCG